Drosophila willistoni is the source of this 967-nucleotide long non-coding RNA. RefSeq lists it as uncharacterized. The record is from RefSeq and is a predicted model, not a curated record. The transcript is spliced from 2 exons. Lineage: Eukaryota; Metazoa; Arthropoda; Insecta; Diptera; Drosophilidae.
GCCAAUGCACUGUAGGCACACACAAAAACACACACACACACACAAUCGAGAGACAGAAAAGGUGACACAAGGCGGCGAGGAAAACUGGGUCGGCGUCAGCUUUUGCGACGGAAAAGAACAAUAUAAUAAUAAAAAUCCCCAUAGAACCGAAAAUCCAAAACGGCAGAAAGUAUACCCUUUAAAAGUUUAAGCGAUCUAAAUCUAUGGUUAUAACGAAAAUUCUUCUAGUCAUCCAGUCUUAAAAAUUCUCUAUUCGAUAUACAAAUAUAUUUGGUAAAUUUUCACUAACUAUAAUAUACCCUUAAAUGGGAUAGCUCAAAAAUCAAAGUAUUCUGAAGUGGACCGAGUCCGGUGAGGUGGUGUCGCCUGGCGGCAAGGCAAACAAAAUUUAAUUAGAGCGCCAACAACAAGGUUAAAGUCAUUCUAAUAAUGUAAAUAUAAGGGAAAAGGAAUGAGAAAGAGAAGGUAUGAAUAGAUUUCGCAGAGACGAGACACAGAAUGGGGACGACGACGACGAUGAUGAUGAUGAUGAUGAUGAUGAUGACAACCUACCUCCGCACUCAUGGCCUGCAAAUGCUCCAUUUCAUGGGCACUAACUUGAUUUAGAUUCACGUGAAUGGCGCUUAGCAAUUUUUGUAUACUAUCGCUAGACGUGGACGGUGGAGAUGGUGAGGAGGCAGCAGAUUGUUGUGGCAUUGCAAUUAAAUUAUUAUGCUGAUCCUCCAAUUGAUUGAUAUCCUGGGCAGCCGAAUCGAGUAGAUCACGUAGAGAUAAGAGAGGAGACCUAUCGCCUAGAUGAAGUGGAUGGCCGGUGGUGACUAGAUUUGCCGCAGUUGCUGCUGAUACGUCUGUUCCUGCUGCUGUGGAUGAACUGUUGCCAUCGUCAUUCGUUGUGAUUGCUGCCAGGCUAAGGGGUCGUUUGAUAAUUUUCGAAAAUAAAUCCAUUUUUGGAUAUUUAAACUAUCAA